RNAcentral lists this ribosomal RNA (253 nucleotides) under uncultured bacterium. RNAcentral describes it as "partial 16S ribosomal RNA". It matches the Rfam family "Bacterial small subunit ribosomal RNA", at positions 524 to 776 of the family's 1533-position model. The record is from RNAcentral.
UACGUAGGUGGCAAGCGUUGUCCGGAAUUAUUGGGCGUAAAGCGCGCGCAGGCGGCCUCUUAAGUCUGAUGUGAAAGCCCCCGGCUCAACCGGGGGGGCAGCUUGGAAACUGGGAGGCUUGAGUAUAGGAGAGAAGAGUGGAAUUCCACGUGUAGCGGUGAAAUGCGUAGAGAUGUGGAGGAACACCAGUGGCGAAGGCGACUCUUUGGCCUAUAACUGACGCUGAGGCGCGAAAGCGUGGGGAGCAAACAGG